UACGUAGGGACCAAGCGUUGUUCGGAUUUACUGGGCGUAAAGGGCGCGUAGGCGGCCUAGCAAGUCACCUGUGAAAUCUCCGGGCUUAACUCGGAACUGCCAAGUGAAACUGCUGGGCUAGAGUGCAGAAGGGGCAAUCGGAAUUCUUGGUGUAGCGGUGAAAUGCGUAGAUAUCAGGAGGAACACCGGUGGCGAAGGCGGGUCUCUGGGCCGAUACUGACGCUGAGGAGCGAAAGCGUGGGGAGCGAACAGG
Molecule: ribosomal RNA, 253 nt
Filed under: uncultured bacterium
Lineage: Bacteria
Description: partial 16S ribosomal RNA
Rfam family: Bacterial small subunit ribosomal RNA
Source: RNAcentral